CCUUCGACUAAAUCCAAAUUCCCCAAACCCAAAUCCUCUCACGCACUCCCUUUGCCGCCGACCGCCUGACGUCUCCAGCACGCCGUCAUCGUGGUAGCAAGGUUGCUGCCCUGUCUCCUUCAUCCUCCUGCACUCACACUGCUUAGCCCCCAAACACUUCUAACCCUAGCUUGUGCGCUGGAGUUCGGGGAGAGGCCAAGGCGCGGUGGUGGAUGCCGCCGUCCCUCUCAGAUCCGGGGGUUAAAAAGAGAGAGAGAGGUGGGUCACCUGCGAGAGAGAGCACUCGCACCCUCGCUCGUCACCCGGGAGCCGCCACCAUCGCCGCCACACCAUGGGCUUCCUCAGAUAUGUGCCAGCCAGUUCGUUUGAAGAGGGAUCUGGUCGUUGACUGUUGGUGCUUCCCCUCCCCCGACGAUCAGCGAUGACUUGGGGUGGCACUUCUAUCAAGCAAGCAGCACUUCGGCUGGGAGCUCAAGCUCAAGCAGAACUUCAAAAACAGGGUCUCUAUCUGCUAAUGGGGUAGCCGGCAAUGCAGUCUAAGAGCUGGCUACUGCUAAUGUGAUUUCUGGAUUUGAGAGGAUGAGAACUUGAGAAGAACAAGCUUGAUACUACAAUUGCAAAAAAUAUAUUCUAUACUACAGGUAUUCCUUUCAGUAUUGUUGCAGCAAACCUUAGUUAGCUAAUUUUCUAUGAACUGGUUGUGAUUGAUUUCUGAACUUUAGAGCUUGUGAAUUGUAAUUUGUUGUUUCAUAGGAUCCUUGAAGGUCAAUACAAGGGUAUCCUACGAAAAUUCAUUACUUCCUAUAAUCAUACUAAUGUUUCAGAUUUUUAGUUAAGCAUUUUAGAAUUCUUGCAAACAUAGGAGUAUAUUAAAUCUUCAUCCUCUUAACUAGUUGAGAGUUGAGACACACCAUACAUAGGCUCUGCAAGCAGGCGGAAAUAGACCUCUUCGUCGAUGACUUCUACGAGGACGAUAUUGACCUAGAGGCUGGAGCUUUGCUACUCUUUCCGGCCAACAACAAGGGAUCGUUUACUUUUUCUCUCCCCACAUCCAGUCCUUCCCUGUUCCUAUCCCUCCUGCUUAUUUCUUGCUAUAGGGCAACAUAAUGCAAGUGUUUGUUAAAUUGUUGGUCUCAAUGCUCCAUUCUAGCAGAAGGAUUUUCGGUAGGAAGACAUAGCAUCAAUCAAGGAUUUUCGGGUGGAAGACAUAGCAUCACUCAUGGUUGUAUAGAUUUACUGUUGUAUUUCUGUAUUUUUGCAAAACUAGUUCAGUAAAGCUUGUAGCUUAUUUCAGUUCUUAAGUGGUUUUACACUUAGGCUUGUAUUGACUUACUACUUAUUUUUUCCAUAAUUUUGCAACACUAGUUCUGUAGUACAUAGUACAAUUUUUUAUGGAAUCAAGUCAAAAUACAUGUAUAUCUAGCCGUUUGUAUUUCUACAGUCAUGCUUCUAAAGAUUGUAUGGUUUUAUUUUCACUAUAGAUUUGCUUGAGUAGUUCUGUAACUUCUAGAAUAGAUCAGUUAAGAGGUUUUACUCUUAGGCUUGUAUAAACUUACAACAUCUUUUAUUUGUAUUUUUGGAACAUUAGUUUUGUAUAGCUUUACUUUAGUUUCUGGAAACAAGAUUAAAUACGUAUGUUUGCAGUUUGUAAUUUACAGUAGUAUUUUUUGUGAAUUUGCUUCACUAGUUCUGUAAAAUGUCUAGAAUAGUUCACUUCUGGAAUGAAGAGUUAAUAUGUAUUAAUCAAUCUUCUAAUUUUACCUUUUCGCUUGUAUAGAUUUCCAGCUGUAGUAUUUUUGUUAUUUUUCUUCAGUAGUUUUGGAAAAUGGACUAAAUAUGAAAAGUUGGUUCUAAUUUAUUGUCAGUCUUUUUCUAUAGAUGUUACAGUUGCAUUUUUCUUAUUAGUUUUUGGCAAUUUUGCAAUGAGAAAGGUUUAACAACUGUAGUCUGUUCUGGUUUAUAAGGGCAUUGUAUCCAUGAGGAAAUUUGUUACUUAUUUCUAAAUACAUCUCUUACUGUUUAUCUGUAUGUUGCAGAGCAACUCACAUUGGUGUAGCUUAGAUGCAUUUUAAGAUAUGGCAUGAAGCUAGCUAAGGUCUUCUAUUAUUUCUAGCAGCAUGUGAUUGACUGAACAAGAGAAGGACUCCACUCACAUAUGAAGUGCUUGCAAGUUCUUUUUAAAAAAGCAAAGGACCAGCGGUGUAGCUAAGGGCUUUAAUUUAUUAGUACUCCAUUUGUUGCUUCUAAAACACUUGUAUGCACAGAUACUAGUUUCUCUUGGUUAUCAUAAGUGAACAUUCUUUAGAUAAAUUUCGCCUAGUUUUUUUAGUGGGGAAGGAAAGCUUCAUGAUAUUCCAUUUAAAACGCUGAUAUCUAUUUGAGAAUUAAUUUAUGUGCAUACCUCCUCGACCUAACAGUAUUUUUCUACUGUAUAGGAGAAAUCUUCUCAGUUUCUGAAUCCUGAGCAGUAGCAAGUCAGGUGCUUAAUGGUGAUCCUACCAUGCAUAUGGCAUAAGCAAGUUAGUUCUAAAAAGGUCAUUGUUAAUUUGCCCACAUCUAUCCUGCAAUUGCGACAACUUAGUGCGGUGAGAUUAGAGGACGGUCAUCAAUUUAAUCUACUUUGUGGCACUAAAGUAUAGAUGCUUUUCUCCGAUGCUUUUAUGAAUAUAAUAGUCAGAUGUAGUUUAAGUUCAGAUACUUUUUGACUUUUUGUUUGGUAUUUUGCAUGUCCUCAUGUGCUUAGUACUGCAUUUAGAAAUGAUUUCAGAUAGAUUCUUCUCAUUGAAAUUCAUUUCUAACGCAGGGAAAGUAUGUAUAACCUCCUGAUGUACGUGGGUUUUGAGAAUGCUUUUCCCAGGCCAUGCUGCACUCAUCAUUGAAACUUCUAGUUGUGUAUUAGAUAGUAAUCAUUUUUGCCUAAUGUAUUGCUGUCUAGUGCAGCAAAGUGCGGUCUUUCCACCCCAGAGAAGAAAAAGAAAGAGAACUAGUGCAGUCUUUUCUUCAAAAAUGACUUUCAUGUGUCCCUUGGUGGAUGUGUUGCUCCCAAUAAUUGGGUGUCUGGACAUGCUAAAUUGUUGCCUUGUGGCCAGAUGAUGCAUAUGCUCCUUUUCCAUUUAAUAUACUUCCUGGUCUGCGGAUUGAGGAGAUUCAUACAAGCUAUAUGGAAUGAAAUACAAGAGGACCAGGAAGUAAGCAUGAAGAUGGCAGUUUGUGUCAGGUAGGCAUUUUGUGUAAUGGGGCAAAAACAUUGUGUAUUUUAUCAUUUUGUAAACCUAUAUAGUGUCUUGUCAAUUGGGUAUUUUGUGUAAUGGAGCAAACAAUGAAACAUUGGACAUGCAUCUAUCAUUUU
Long non-coding RNA from Triticum aestivum (bread wheat), 3349 nucleotides. RefSeq lists it as uncharacterized. The record is from RefSeq and is a predicted model, not a curated record. NCBI's taxonomy places the organism in Eukaryota, Viridiplantae, Streptophyta, Magnoliopsida, Poales, Poaceae. The transcript has 3 exons.